This 465-nucleotide ribosomal RNA is filed under the name uncultured bacterium. RNAcentral's name for it is "bacterial SSU rRNA". It matches the Rfam family "Bacterial small subunit ribosomal RNA", at positions 28 to 376 of the family's 1533-position model. The record is from RNAcentral.
GAUGAACGCUGGCGGCGUGCUUAACACAUGCAAGUCGAGCGGGCAAUUUAUCUAGCACUGAUUACUUCAAAUGGAAAUCAUAAGUGUAAUCAUGAAUUUCUACCUUUAAUAAAGAAAAAAGAAAUUCAUGUACGCAAAUAGUGAUAACACAUUUUAGUGAAGUGAUGAGUGCUGGAUAAUUGCUAGCGGCGGACGGGUGCGUAACACGUGGGUAACCUGCCCCUAUCACUGGGAUAACACACUGAAAAGUGUGCUAAUACCAGAUAACAUAAGCUUUUGGCAUCAUUAGCUUAUCAAAGAAUUUCGGAUAGGGAUGGGCCCGCGUCUGAUUAGCUAGUUGGUGAGGUAACGGCUCACCAAGGCAACGAUCAGUAGCCGACCUGAGAGGGUGAUCGGCCACACUGGAACUGAGACACGGUCCAGACUCCUACGGGAGGCAGCAGUGAGGAAUAUUGGUCAAUGGAC